Molecule: ribosomal RNA, 250 nt
Filed under: uncultured Actinomycetes bacterium
Lineage: Bacteria; Bacillati; Actinomycetota; Actinomycetes
Description: uncultured actinobacterium partial 16S ribosomal RNA
Rfam family: Bacterial small subunit ribosomal RNA
Source: RNAcentral
GAUGAACGCUGGCGGCGUGCUUAACACAUGCAAGCCGAACGGGAUCCCAGGAGCUUGCUCCUGGGUGAGAGUGGCGAACGGGUGAGUAAUGCGUGACCGACCUGCCCCAUACACCGGAAUAGCUCCUGGAAACGGGUGGUAAUGCCGGAUGCUCCAGUUGACCGCAUGGUCCUCUGGGAAAGCUUUUGCGGUAUGGGAUGGGGUCGCGUCCUAUCAGCUUGAUGGCGGGGUAACGGCCCCACCAUGGCUU